CAACCGUUGGAGCGAUCCAACGCUGAACGGACAGAAGUCAGCAGAGGUCAUAGUACCCGUCUAGCUUAGAUAGAAGGGGAAGGAC
This is a non-coding RNA of Geobacillus kaustophilus HTA426, 85 nucleotides long. Lineage: Bacteria; Bacillati; Bacillota; Bacilli; Caryophanales; Anoxybacillaceae. The record is from Rfam.